Molecule: non-coding RNA, 103 nt
Organism: Acanthosepion pharaonis
Lineage: Eukaryota; Metazoa; Mollusca; Cephalopoda; Sepiida; Sepiidae
Source: the annotation of a GenBank genome assembly
CCCGUUGAAACAUAAGUUCUCGUUAUGAUCACAGAAGUUAAGCAACUUCGAGCCUAGUCAUUACCAAGAUGGGUGACCGCUUGGGAAUACCAGGUGCUGUAAG